This 301-nucleotide ribosomal RNA is filed under the name uncultured bacterium. RNAcentral's name for it is "partial 16S ribosomal RNA". It matches the Rfam family "Bacterial small subunit ribosomal RNA", at positions 509 to 807 of the family's 1533-position model. The record is from RNAcentral.
CAGUCGCCGCGGUAAUACGGAGGGGGCUAGCGUUGUUCGGAAUUACUGGGCGUAAAGCGCACGUAGGCGGCUUGGUAAGUUAGAGGUGAAAGCCUGGAGCUCAACUCCAGAAUUGCCUUUAAGACUGCCGAGCUAGCAGGUGAGAGAGGUAAGUGGAAUUCCGAGUGUAGAGGUGAAAUGCGUAGAGAUCGGGAGGAACAUCAGUGGCGAAGGCGGCCAUCUGGGACAACACUGACGCUGAGGCACGAAAGCGUGGGGAGCAAACAGGAUUAGAUACCCCGGUAGUCCCUGUCUCUUAUAC